AGAACGAACGCUGGCGGCAUGCCUAAUACAUGCAAGUCGAACGAACUCUUCGGAGUUAGUGGCGCACGGGUGCGUAACGCGUGGGAAUCUGCCCCUUGGUUCGGAAUAACAGUUGGAAACGACUGCUAAUACCGGAUGAUGACGAAAGUCCAAAGAUUUAUCGCCAAGGGAUGAGCCCGCGUAGGAUUAGCUAGUUGGUGAGGUAAAGGCUCACCAAGGCAACGAUCCUUAGCUGGUCUGAGAGGAUGAUCAGCCACACUGGGACUGAGACACGGCCCAGGCUCCUACGGGAGGCAGCAGUAGGGAAUAUUGGACAAUGGGCGAAAGCCUGAUCCAGCAAUGCCGCGUGAGUGAUGAAGGCCUUAGGUUGUAAAGCUCUUUUACCCGAGAUGAUAAUGACAGUAUCGGAGAAUAAGCCCGGCUAACUCCGACGCCAGCAGCCGC
Molecule: ribosomal RNA, 444 nt
Filed under: uncultured soil bacterium
Lineage: Bacteria
Description: bacterial SSU rRNA
Rfam family: Bacterial small subunit ribosomal RNA
Source: RNAcentral